Long non-coding RNA from Diceros bicornis minor, 1741 nucleotides. RefSeq lists it as uncharacterized. Lineage: Eukaryota; Metazoa; Chordata; Mammalia; Perissodactyla; Rhinocerotidae. The record is from RefSeq and is a predicted model, not a curated record. The transcript has 3 exons.
CGAGGAGCCGUAGAGGGGUCCGGGCCGAGGUGCGCUCGCGUGGAAGUCGUCGCUGCCGCUGGCCGCCCGCUCGCCUGUCCGUCCUCGCUCCCCGCCGCCAUCAUGCUGGCGCUCAUCUCCCGCCUGCUGGACUGGUUCCGCUCGCUCUUCUGGAAGGAGGAGAUGGAGCUGACGCUCGUGGGGCUGCAGUACUCGGGCAAGACCACCUUCGUCAAUGUCAUCGCGGUCCAGUUCUUCCAUUUACGGUGUUCCUGAAAUGCUGACAAACAGACCGGCCUUUUCAAACUCGUCUGCCUCCUAGACUUUUAAUCAAUAUCUCUUUGAAGUAUAUCCACCACCAACCUCAACUAUAUGUUUUUCAGCAAUCUGUGCCCUCCAACUUGCAGCCUUCCGGGAGUCCUGUGGAGUAAGUCAUCUUCUACCUUGUUAGUAUUUUCCUCAUCUACCAUGGAGAUUUGACUUUUUUUUCUGUUUUGCUUAUUCUAUUUCCAUGUCUUCAAUUCUCUAUCUUUUUAUAUUGUGAUUUGGAGAUAUUGCUUUAUCUUAAAUUUAUUAAGGCCAGAGUUUACAUUUCUGUUUCACAUACUUCUUACAGUAUAGGAGGAGAAAGGGCCUAAAAACAUUUCUUUACCACUUUAAAACUAAAAGUCUGCUAACUAUAAGAUGGUAGCUAUCAAUGAAUAAAUGGAUUAAUAAAUGACUAGACAUAUCAGUGGAACUGUUGGUUUGGUGGUCAUUGUAAAUGUGCCUCAAACACUUGUUGAAAAUUGAGUAUGAAGCCACAACGAAAUAGUAAAAUCAGAUUGACUACAUUUUUUCCUUUCCAACAAAGCUUCUCUCCUUUCUAAUUUCAUAGGAGAUGCUGAAAUUGACUAGUGAGUGUGGAAAAAAAGGAAACUGAUGAUUAAGUAAACACAGUGCUUAAGUUUAAAUAUAUCUAAGAGUUCAGCUAUUAUUCUUAAGUACCUCCGCCAUCUCCCCAAAGUCUAUCCAUCCAAUUAUUAAGAAUGCAAGGAGAUUCCACUGGUUACUCCACUAUCUUCAGCGGAUAGACAAUUACAUCUAUAACUACAAAAAUGCUGCUUUGCAAUCUACACCAUACUCUCUAGGAAUUUUACGUGACAAAUUUGGGUGAUUCAAGCAAUGGUACUUGCUAACUGGUCACAAUUGCUGAUUGGCUGCUCCUUCAAACAGAAUCUUGUGUUAAAUUUCUCAAAGAUUGAGAAAGAUAGGGCAUCUUUCUUUGUAUCUUUGUUCUUAUGUAGAACAAAGAUAUUAUGAAAAAAAUAAAAAUAUGAUUUUUAGAAUUGAUGAUAUAAAACAAUAUAUUUAGCAUAGAAAAUUAUAAUAUACACACUGUAGUUUAGGAAGUACUCAGCUUUGGAGAGUCCAAAUUAAGCAGGCGUUAAAACUUACUGGCACAUAUAGAGCUCAAACAUGCUCUUCAAUGUUUCAAAACUUCAGUAACUUUUACCAUAACUGUUUAACAUUGUGGUAUACACAGUUGCUUACUUAAUGGAGAAUUCUCUGAAAUAUCACCAAACAACCUGUUAAUAAGUCAAAACGAACUUUUUAAGAACACACAGUAAAUGAGAACACUAUCUUAACAGAAUCUUACCAGUUUCUCAGAAGGGGAAAGUCAUAAGGGGGGAUUUACAAGACUUGGGGUCUGGAUUCAAAUAUGUCAAGGCAAGGCUUUCAGGGCAGGAAAGUGAUUGGGAUAGAACUUUGUGUGUGUGUG